This 309-nucleotide ribosomal RNA is filed under the name uncultured bacterium. RNAcentral's name for it is "bacterial SSU rRNA". It matches the Rfam family "Bacterial small subunit ribosomal RNA", at positions 28 to 334 of the family's 1533-position model. The record is from RNAcentral.
GAUGAACGCUGGCGGCGUGCCUAACACAUGCAAGUCGAACGGUUAAACCGCCCUUCGGGGCGGACAUACAGUGGCGAACGGGUGAGUAACACGUGACCAACCUGCCCCGCACCCCGGGACAACCGCCGGAAACGGCGGCUAAUACCGGAUACUCUCCGAGGCGCGCAUGCGCCACGGAGGAAAGCUCCGACGGUGCGGGAUGGGGUCGCGGCCCAUUAGGUAGUAGGCGGGGCAACGGCCCACCUAGCCUGCGAUGGGUAGCCGGCCUGAGAGGGCGAUCGGCCACAUUGGGACUGAGAUACGGCCCAG